GAUGAACGCUGGCGGCGUGCCUAAUACAUGCAAGUCGAGCGAACGGACGAGAAGCUUGCUUCUCUGAUGUUAGCGGCGGACGGGUGAGUAACACGUGGAUAACCUACCUAUAAGACUGGGAUAACUUCGGGAAGCCGGAGCUAAUACCGGAUAAUAUUUUGAACCGCAUGGUUCAAAAGUGAAAGACGGUCUUGCUGUCACUUAUAGAUGGAUCCGCGCUGCAUUAGCUAGUUGGUAAGGUAACGGCUUACCAAGGCAACGAUGCAUAGCCGACCUGAGAGGGUGAUCGGCCACACUGGAACUGAGACACGGUCCAGACUCCUACGGGAGGCAGCAGUAGGGAAUCUUCCGCAAUGGGCGAAAGCCUGACGGAGCAACGCCGCGUGAGUGAUGAAGGUCUUCGGAUCGUAAAACUCUGUUAUUAGGGAAGAACAUAUGUGUAAGUAACUGUGCACAUCUUGACGGUACCUAAGCAGAAAGCCACGGCUAACUACGU
Molecule: ribosomal RNA, 496 nt
Filed under: uncultured bacterium
Lineage: Bacteria
Description: partial 16S ribosomal RNA
Rfam family: Bacterial small subunit ribosomal RNA
Source: RNAcentral